Molecule: ribosomal RNA, 253 nt
Filed under: uncultured bacterium
Lineage: Bacteria
Description: partial 16S ribosomal RNA
Rfam family: Bacterial small subunit ribosomal RNA
Source: RNAcentral
UACGUAGGGGGCAAGCGUUGUCCGGAUUUAUUGGGCGUAAAGAGCUCGUAGGCGGUCUGUCGCGUCGGCUGUGAAAACUCGGGGCUCAACCCCGAGCCUGCAGUCGAUACGGGCAGACUAGAGUGCUGUAGGGGAGACUGGAAUUCCUGGUGUAGCGGUGAAAUGCGCAGAUAUCAGGAGGAACACCGAUGGCGAAGGCAGAUCUCUGGGCCGUAACUGACGCUGAGGAGCGAAAGCGUGGGGAGCGAACAGG